RNAcentral lists this long non-coding RNA (29647 nucleotides) under Brassica napus (rape). RNAcentral describes it as "long non-coding RNA (BNAP_LNC014766)". The record is from RNAcentral. Lineage: Eukaryota; Viridiplantae; Streptophyta; Magnoliopsida; Brassicales; Brassicaceae.
UGAAGUUAACACUCGUUAAUGUUGUUUAAAAAUUUGUAACCACAUUAUAAUUUGUAUUAAUGUAUGUUAAACUCUCUUUCAUGGUACAUAGACAAUACUAUAGUUUUUAAAAAUCUAAUUUAAUAAAUUUUAAAUACUACUUAAAUCAGUGGACUAAACACUAUAAAAUAUAUAUUCUCUAGAGAAACGGACAUUACAUACAUUUCAAACCUCUUAGACCAUCAUCAUAUGUCUGUUAAGAAUGCAACUAUGGAAUAAGAAAAGAUUGUUGAAUUUUUUUAUUUUUUUCAAAAUCUGAAGGUGAACCCCUACAAAAUUGAGUUUUUCGGUAAUUGCAAUAUUAAUGAAGUUUACAUUCUUUAGUGUUGUUUAAAAAUUUCUAACCACAUUCUAAAUUUGUAUUAACGUAUGCUAAACUCUCUUUCAUGGUACAUAGACAUCACUAUAGUUUUUUAAAGUUUAAUUUAAUAAAUUUUAUGUACUACUUAAAUCAGUAGACAAAACGCUAUAAAAUAUAUAUUCUCAAGAGAAACGGACACAACAUACAAUUCAAACCUCUAUGGACAUUAUCAUAUGUAUGUUAAGGAUGCAAGUAUAGAAUAAAAAAAUAUUGUGCAAUUUUUUUAAUUUGUUUUCAAAGUAUGAAAGUUAACCCCGAUAAAAUUGACAUUUUUCGAUAUAUGCUCUAUAUAAUGAAAUUUACACUCUUUAAUGUUGUUUAAAAAUUUCUAACCACAUUAUAAUUUGUAUUAAUGUAUUGUAAACUCUCUUUCACGGUACAUAGACAUCACAAUAGUUUUUUAAAAAUUAAUUUAAAAAAUUUUAUAUACUAAUUAAAUCAGUGGACUAAACACUAUAAAAUAUAUAUUCUCUUGAGAAACGGACACAACAUACAUUUCAAACAUCUUUGACCAUCAUCAUAUGUCUGUUAAGGAUGCAACUAUGCAAUAAAAAAAUAUUGUCAAAUUUUUUGAUUUUUUUUCAAAAUCUAAAGGUUAACCCCUACAAAAUUGAGGGUUUCGGUAAUAGAAAUAUAUAUUGAAGUUUACAUUAUUUAGUGUUGUCUAAAAAUAUCUAACCACAUUCUACAUUUGUAUUAAUAUUUGCUAAACUCUCUUUCAGGAAACAUAGACAUCACAAUAGUUUUUAAAAAUUUAAAUUAAUAAAUUUUACAUACUACAUGAAUCAGUAGACUAAACACUAUAAAAUAUAUAUUCUCUAGAGAAACGGACACAACAUACAUAUAAAACCUCUUUGACAAUCAUCAUAUGUCUGUUAAGGGUGCAACUAUGCAAUAAAAAAAGAUUGUCAUAUUUUUAAUUUUUUCUCAAAAUCUGAAGGUUAACCCCUACAAAAUUUAGUUUUUCGAUAAAUGCUCUAUAUAAUGAAGUUUACACUCUUUAAUGUUGUUUAAAAAUUUCUAAACACAUUAUAAAUUUGUAUUAAUCUAUGCUAAACUCUUUUUCAUGGUACAUAGACAUCAGCAUAGUUUUUAAAAUUUUAAUUUAAUAAAUUCUAUAUACUACUAUAAAAUAUAUAUUCUCAAGAGAAACGGACACAACAUACAAUUCAAACCUCUAUGGCCAUUAUCAUAUGUAUGUUAAGGAUGCAAGUGUAGAAUAAAAAAAGAUUGUCCAAUUUUUUGAAUUUGUUUUCAAAAUAUGAAGGUUAACCCCGACAAAAUUGACAUUUUUCGAUAUAUGCUCUAUAUAAUGAAAUUUACACUCUUUAAUGUUGGUUAAAAAUUUCUAACCACAUUAUAAUUUGUAUUAAUGUAUGCUAAACUCUCUUUCAUGGUACAUAGACAUCACUAUAGUUUUUAAAAAAUUAAUUUAAAAAAUUUUAUAUAAUAAUUAAAUCAGUGGACUAAACACUAUAAAAUAUAUAUUCUCUAGAGAAACGGACACAACAUACAUUUCAAACAUCUUUGACCAUCAUCAUAUAUCUGUUAAGGAUGCAACUAUGCAAUAAAAAAUAUUGUCAAAUUUUUUGAAUUUUUUUCAAAAUCUAAAGGUUAACCCCUACAAAAUUGAGGGUUUCGGUAAUUGAAAUAUAUAUUGAAGUUUACAUUAAUUAGUGUUGUCUAAAAAUAUCUAACCACAUUCUACAUUUGUAUUAAUAUUUGCUAAACUCUCUUUCAGGAAACAUAGACAUCACAAUAGUUUUUAAAAAUUUAAAUUAAUAAAUUUUACAUACUACAUGAAUCAGUAGACUAAACACUAUAAAAUAUAUAUUCUCUAGAGAAACGGACACAACAUACAUAUAAAACCUCUUUGACAAUCAUCAUAUGUCUGUUAAGGGUGCAACUAUGCAAUAAAAAAAGAUUGUCAUAUUUUUAAUUUUUUCUCAAAAUCUGAAGGUUAACCCCUACAAAAUUUAGUUUUUCGAUAAAUGCUCUAUAUAAUGAAGUUUACACUCUUUAAUGUUGUUUAAAAAUUUCUAAACACAUUAUAAAUUUGUAUUAAUCUAUUCUAAACUCUUUUUCAUGGUACAUAGACAUCAGCAUAAUUUUUAAAAUUUUAGUUUAAUAAAUUCUAUAUACUACUAUAAAAUAUAUAUUCUCAAGAGAAACGGACAAAACAUACAUUUCAAACCUUUUUGACCAUCAUCAUAUGUAUGUUAAGGAUGCAAGUAUAGAAUAAAAAAGAUUGUCCAAUUUUUUGAAUUUGUUUUCAAAAUCUGAAGGUUAACCCCUACAAAAUUGAGUUUUUCGAUAGAUGCUCUAUAUAAUGAAAUUUACACUCUUUAAUGUUGUUUAAAAAUUUCUAACCAUGUUAUAAUUUGUAUUAAUGUAUGUUAAACUCUCUUUCAGGGUACGUAGACAUCACUAUAGUUUUUUAAAAUUUAUAUUAAUAAAUAUUUUAUACUACGUGAAUAAGUGGACUAAACACUAAAAAUAUGGAUUCUCUAGAGAAACGGACACAACAUAGAUUUCAAACCUCUUUGACCAUCAUCAUAUGUCUGUUAAGGAUGCAACUAUGCAAUAAAAAAAGAUUAUCAAAUUUUUUGAAUUUUUUUCAAAAUUUGAAGGUUAACCCCCUACAAAAUUAAGUUUUUCGGUAAAUGCUCUAUACAAUGAAGUUUACACCCUUUAUUGUUAUUUUAAAUUUUUUAACCACAUUAUACAUUAAUGCUAAACUCUCUUUCAUUGUACGUAGACAUCACUAUGGUUUUUAAAAAUUUAAUUUAAUAAAUUUUAUAUACUACUUCAAUCAGUGAACUAAACACUAUAAAAUAUAUAUUCUCUAGAGAAACGGACACAACAUACAUUUCAAAAUUCUUUGACCAUCAUCAUAUGUAUGUUAAGGAUGCAACUAUGCAAUAAAAAAAAAUUCAAAUUUUUUGAUUUUUUUUCAAAUUGAGGUUUUCGAUAAAUGAUCUAUACACUGAAGUUUGCACCCUUUAACGUAGUAGAAAAAUUUCUAACCACAUUUUACAUUUGUAUUAAUGUAUGCUAAACUCUUUUUCAUGGUACAUAGACAUCAGCAUAGUUUUUAAAAUUUUAGUUUAAUAAAUUCUAUAUACUACUAUAAAAUAUAUAUUCUCAAGAGAAACGGACAAAACAUACAAUUCAAACCUUUUUGACCAUCAUCAUAUGUAUGUUAAGGAUGCAAGUGCAAGUGUAGAAUAAAAAAAGAUUGUCCAAUUUUUUGAAUUUGUUUUCAAAAUAUGAAGGUUAACCCCGACAAAAUUGACAUUUUUCGAUAUAUGCUCUAUAUAAUGAAAUUUACACUCUUUAAUGUUGGUUAAAAAUUUCUAACCACAUUAUAAUUUGUAUUAAUGUAUGCUAAACUUUCUUUCAUGGUACAUAGACAUCACUAUAGUUUUUAAAAAAUUAAUUUAAAAAAUUUUAUAUAAUAAUUAAAUCAGUGGACUAAACACUAUAAAAUAUAUAUUCUCUAGAGAAACGGACACAACAUACAUUUCAAACAUCUUUGACCAUCAUCAUAUAUCUGUUAAGGAUGCAACUAUGCAAAAAAAAAAUAUUGUCAAAUUUUUUGAAUUUUUUUCAAAAUCUAAAGGUUAACCCCUACAAAAUUGAGGGUUUCGUUAAUUGAAAUAUAUAUUGAAGUUUACAUUAUUUAGUGUUGUCUAAAAAUAUCUAACCACAUUCUACAUUUGUAUUAAUAUUUGCUAAACUCUCUUUCAGGAUACAUAGACAUCACAAUAGUUUUUAAAAAUUUAAUUUAAUAAAUUUUACAUACUACAUGAAUCAGUAGACUAAACACUAUAAAAUAUAUAUUCUCUAGAGAAACGGACACAACAUACAUUUAAAACCUCUUUGACAAUCAUCAUAUGUCUGUUAAGGAUGCAACUAUGCAAUAAAAAAAGAUUGUCAUGUUUUUUAAUUUUUUCUCAAAAUCUGAAGGUUAACCCCUACAAAAUUUAGUUUUUCGAUAAAUGCUCUAUAUAAUGAAGUUUACACUCUUUAAUGUUGUUUAAAAAUUUCUAAACACAUUAUAAAUUUGUAUUAAUCUAUGCUAAACUCUUUUUCAUGGUACAUAGACAUCAGCAUAGUUUUUAAAAUUUUAGUUUAAUAAAUUCUAUAUACUACUAUAAAAUAUAUAUUCUCAAGAGAAACGGACAAAACAUACAUUUCAAACCUUUUUGACCAUCAUCAUAUGUAUGUUAAGGAUGCAAGUAUAGAAUAAAAAAGAUUUUCCAAUUUUUUGAAUUUGUUUUCAAAAUCUGAAGGUUAACCCCUACAGAAUUGAGUUUUACGAUAGAUGCUCUAUAUAAUGAAAUUUACACUCUUUAAUGUUGUUUAAAAAUUUCUAACCACAUUAUAAUUUGCAUUAAUGUAUGUUAAACUCUCUUUCAUGGUACGUAGACAUCACUAUAGUUUUUAAAAAUUUAAAUUAACAAAUAUUUUAUACUACUUGAAUAAGUGGACUAAACACUAAAAAUAUAGAUUCUCUAGAGAAACGAACACAACAUAGAUUUCAAACCUCUUUGACCAUCAUCAUAUGUCUGUUAAGGAUGUAACUAUGCAAUAAAAAAAGAUUAUCAAAUUUUUGAAUUUUUUUCAAAAUUUGAAGGUUAAACCCCUACAAAAUUAAGUUUUUCAGUAAAUGCUCUAUACAAAGAAGUUUACACCCUUUAAUGUUGUUUUAAAUUUUCUAACCACAUUAUACAUUAAUGCUAAACUCUCUUUCAUUGUACGUAGACAUCACUAUGGUUUUUAAAAAUUUAAUUUAAUGAAUUUUAUAUACUACUUAAAUCAGUGGACUAAACACUUAAAUCUCUAGAGAAACGGACACAACAUACAUUUCAAAACUCUUUGACCAUCAUCAUAUGUAUGUUAAGGAUGCAACUAUGCAAUAAAAAAAAUUCAAAUUUUUUGAUUUUUUUUCGAAAUAUGAAGGUUACCCCCACAAAAUUGAGGUUUUCGAUAAAUGCUCUAUACACUGAAGUUUGCACCCUUUAAUGUUGUUGAAAAAUUUCUAACCACAUUAUACAUUUGUAUUAAUGUAUGCUAAACUCUCUUUCAGGAUACAUAGACAUCACAAUAGUUUUUAAAAAUUUAAUUUAAUAAAUUUUAUAUACUACAUAAAUCAGUGGACUAAGCAAUAUAAAAUAUAUAUUCUCAAGAGAAACGGACACAGCAUACAUUUAAAACCUCUUUGACCAUCAUCAUAUGUAUGUUAAGGAUGCAACUAUGCAAUAAAAAAAUAUUGACAUAUUUUUCAAAUAUUUCUCAAAAUAAGGUUAACCCCUACAAAAUUUAGUUUUGCGAUAAAUGCUCUAUAUAAUGAAGUUUACACUCUUUAAUACUGUUUAAAAAUUUCUAACCACAUUAUAAUUUGUAUUAAUGUAUGCUAAACUCUCUUUCAUGGUACAUAGACAAUACUAUAGUUUUUAAAAAUUUAAUUUAAUAAAUUUUAAAUACUACUUAAAUCAGUGGACUAAUCACUAUAAAAUAUAUAUUCUCUAUAGAAACGGACACAAAAUACAUUUCAAACCUCUUUGACCAUCAUCAUACGUCUGUUAAGGAUGCAACUAUGCAAUAAAAAAAGAUUGUAGAAUUUUUUGAAUUUUUUCAAAAUCUGAAGGUUCACACCCCUACAAAAUUGAGUUUUUCGAUAAAUGCUCUAUAUAAUGAAGUUUACAUUCUUUAAUGUUGUUUAAAAAUUUCUAACCACAUUCUAAAUUUGUAUUAAUGUAUGCUAAACUCUCUUUCAUGGUACAUAGACAUAACUAUAGCUUUUUAAAGUUUAAUUUAAUAAAUUUUAUGUACUACUUAAAUGAGUAGAAAAAACACUAUAAAAUAUAUAUUCUCAAGAGAAAAAGACACAACAUACAAUUCAAACCUCUAUGGCCAUUAUGAUAUGUAUGUUAAGGAUGCAAGUAUAGAAUAAAAAAAGAUUGUCCAAUUUUUUGAAUUUUCAAAAUAUGAAGUUUAACCUCGACAAAAUUGACAUUUUUCGAUAUAUGCUCUAUAUAAUGAACUUUACACUAUUUAAUGUUGUUUAAAAAUUUCUAACCAUAUAAUAAUUUGUAUUAAUGUAUGCUAAACUCUCUUUCAUGGUACAUAGACAUCACUAUAGUUUUUAAUAAAUUAAUUUAAAAAAUUUUAUAUACUAAUUAAAUCAGUGGACUAAACACUAUAAAAUAUAUAUUCUCUAGAGAAACGGACACAACAUACAUUUCAAACAUCUUUGACCAUCAUCAUAUGUCUAUUAAGGAUGCAACUAUGCAAUAAAAAAAUAUUGUCAAUUUUUUUGAAUUUUUUUCAAAAUCUGAAGGUUAACCCCUACAAAAUUGAGGGUUUCGGUAAUUGAAAUAUAUAUUGAAUUUUACAUUAUUUAGUGUUGUCUAAAAAUAUCUAACCACGUUCUACAUUUGUAUUAAUGUUUGCUAAACUCUCUUUCAGGAUACAUAGACAUCAUAAUAGUUUUUAAAAAUUUAAUUUAAUAAAUUUUACAUACUACAUGAAUCCGUAGACUAAACACUAUAAAAUAUAUAUUCUCUAGAGAAACGGACACAACAUACAUUUAAAACCUCUUUGACAAUCAUCAUAUGUCUGUUAAGGAUGCAACUAUGCAAUAAAAAAAAGAUUGUCAUAUUUUUUUAAUUUUUCUCAAAAUCUGAAGGUUAACCCCUACAAAAUUUAGUUUGUCGAUAAAUACUCUAUAUAAUGAAGUUUACACUCUUUAAUGUUGUUUAAAAAUUUCUAAACACAUUAUAAAUUUGUAUUAAUCUAUGCUAAACUCUCUUUCAUGGUACAUAGACAUCAGCAUAGUUUUUAAAAUUUUAAUUUAUUAAAUUCUAUAUACUACUAUAAAAUAUAUAUUCUCAAGAGAAACGGACAAAACAUACAUUUCAAACCUUUUUGACCAUCAUCAUAUGUAUGUUAAGGAUGCAAGUAUAGAAUAAAAAAGAUUGUCCAAUUUUUUGAAUUUGUUUUCAAAAUCUGAAGGUUUAACCCCUACAAAAUUGAGUUUUUCGAUAGAUGCUCUAUAUAAUGAAAUUUACACUCUUUAAUGUUGUUUAAAAAUUUCUAACCACAUUAUAAUUUGUAUUAAUGUAUGUUAAACUCUCUUUCAGGGUACGUAGACAUCACUAUAGUUUUUUAAAAUUUAUAUUAAUAAAUAUUUUAUACUACGUGAAUAAGUGGACUAAACACUAAAAAUAUGGAUUCUCUAGAGAAACGGACACAACAUAGAUUUCAAACCUCUUUGACCAUCAUCAUAUGUCUGUUAAGGAUGCAACUAUGCAAUAAAAAAAGAUUAUCAAAUUUUUUGAAUUUUUUUCAAAAUUUGAAGGUUAACCCCCUACAAAAUUAAGUUUUUCGGUAAAUGCUCUAUACAAUGAAGUUUACACCCUUUAUUGUUAUUUUAAAUUUUUUAACCACAUUAUACAUUAAUGCUAAACUCUCUUUCAUUGUACGUAGACAUCACUAUGGUUUUUAAAAAUUUAAUUUAAUAAAUUUUAUAUACUACUUCAAUCAGUGAACUAAACACUAUAAAAUAUAUAUUCUCUAGAGAAACGGACACAACAUACAUUUCAAAAUUCUUUGACCAUCAUCAUAUGUAUGUUAAGGAUGCAACUAUGCAAUAAAAAAAAAUUCAAAUUUUUUGAUUUUUUUUCAAAUUGAGGUUUUCGAUAAAUGAUCUAUACACUGAAGUUUGCACCCUUUAACGUAGUAGAAAAAUUUCUAACCACAUUUUACAUUUGUAUUAAUGUAUGCUAAACUCUCUUUCAGGAUACAUAGACAUCACAAUAGUUUUUAAAAAUUUAAUUUAAUAAAUUUUAUAUACUACAUGAAUCAGUGGACUAAGCAAUAUAAAAUAUAUAUUCUCAAGAGAAACGGACCCAACAUACAUUUAACCCCUACAAAAUAUUGUCAUAUUUUUCAAUUUUUUCUCAAAAUCUGAAGGUUAACCCCUACAAAAUUUAGUUUUUCGAUAAAUUCUCUAUAUAAUGAAGUUUACACUAUUUAAUGUUGUUUAAAAAUUUCUAACCACAUUAUAAUUUGUAUUAAUGUAUGCUAAACUCUCUUUCAUGGUACAUAGAAAAUAUUAUAGUUUUAAAAAUUUAAUUUAAUAAAUUUUAAAUACUACUUAAAUCAGUGGACUAAACACUAUAAAAUAUAUAUUCUCUAUAGAAACGGACACAAAAUACAUUUCAAACCUCUUUGACCAUCAUCAUACGUCUGUUAAGGAUGCAACUAUACAAUAAAAAAAAGAUUGUAGAAUUUUUUGAAUUUUUUUCAAAAUCUGAAGGUUCACACCGCUACAAAAUUGAGUUUUUUGAUAAAUGCUCUAUAUAAUGAAGUUCACACUCUUUAAUGUUGUUUAAAAUUUUCUAACCACAUUAUAAAUUUUUAUUAAUGUAUGCUAAACUCUCUUUCGUGGUACAUAGACAUCAUUAUAGUUUUUAAAAAUUUAACUUUAUAAAUUUUAUAUACUACUUAAAUUAGUGGACUAAACAAUAUAAAAUAUAUAUUCUCUAGAGAAACGACACUAUAUACAUUUCAAACCUCUUUGACUAUCAUCAUAUGUCUGUUAAGGAUGCACCUAUGCAAUAAAUAAAGAUUGUCGAAUUUUUUGUAUUUUUUUCAAAAUCUGAAGGUUAACCCCUACAAAAUUGAGUUUUUUCGAUAAAUGCUCUAUAAUGAAGUUUACAAUCUUUAGUGUUGUUCAAAAAUUUAUAAGCACAUUCUACAUUUGUAUUAAUAUAUGCUAAACUCUCUUUCAUGGUACAUAGACAUCACUAUAGUUUUUAAAAAUUUAACUUAAUAAAUUUUAUAUACUACUUAAAUCAGUGGACUAAAGACUAUAAAAUAUAUAUUCUCCAGAGAAACGGACACAACAUCUAUUUCAAACCUCUUUGACCAUCAUCAUAUGUAUGUUAAGGAUGCAACUAUGCAAUAAAAACAGAUUGUCAAAUUUUUUGAUUUUUUUUCAACAUCUGAAGGUUAACCCCUACAAAAUUGAGUUUUUCAAUAAAUGCUCUAUAUAAUGAAGUUUACACUCUAUAAUGUUGUUUAGAAAUUUCUAACCACAUUACAAAUUUGUAUUAAUGUAUGCUAAACUCUCUUUCAUGGUACAUAGACAUCACUAAAGAUUUUUAAAAAUUAAUUUAAUAAAUUUUAUGUAGUAUUUAAAUCAGUGGACUAAACAUGAUAAAAUAUAUAUUCUCUAGAUAAAGGGACACAACAUACAUUUCAAACCUCUUUGACCAUCAUCAUAUGUCUGUUAAGGAUGCAACUAUGCAAUAAAAAAAAUUUCUUAAUUUUUGAAUUUUUUUCAAAAUCUGAAGGUUAACCCCUACAAAAUUGAGUUUUUUCGAUAAAUGCUCCAUAUAAUGAAGUUUACAUUCUUUAGUGUUGUUCAAAAAUUUCUAACUACUUUCUACAUUUGUAAUAACGUAUGUUAAACUCUCUUUCAUGGUACAUAGACAUCACUAUAGUUUAUAAAAUUUUAAUUAAUAAAUUUUUGUACUACUUAAAUCAGUAGACAAAACAUCAGAAAAUAUAUAUUCUCUAGAGAAACGGACACAACAUACAUUUCAAACCUUUUUGACCAUCAUCAUAUGUCUUUUAAGAAUGCAACUAUACAAUAAAAAAAGGUUGUCAAUUUUUUUGAAUUUUUUUCAAAAUCUGAAAUUUAACCCCGACAAAAUUGAGUUUUUCGAUAAAUGCUCUAUAUAAUGAAGUUUACACUCUAUGUUAAACUCUCUUUCAUGGUACAUAGACAUCUCUAUAGUUUUUAAAAAUUUAAUUUAAUAAAUUUUAUAUACUACUUAAAUCACUGGACUAAACACUAUAAAAUAUAUAUUCUCAAGAGAAACAGACGCAACAUCAAUAGUUUUUAAAAAUUUAAUUUAAUAAAUUUUAUAUACUACUUAAAUCACUGGACUAAACACUAUAAAAUAUAUAUUCUCAAGAGAAACAGACGCAACAUACAUUUCAAACCUAUUUAACUGUCAUCAUAUGUAUGUUAAGGAUGCAACUAUGCAAUAAAAAAUGAUUGUCAUAUUUUUUGAAUUUUGUUUCAAAAUCUGAAGGUUAACCCCUACAAAAUUGAGUUUUUCGAUAAAUGCUCUAUAUAAUGAAGUUUAUACUCUUUACUGUUGUUUAAAAAUUUCUAAGCACACUACAAUUUGUAUUAAUGUAUGCUAAACUCUCUUUCAUGGUACAUAGACAUCACUAUAGUUCUUAAAAAUUUAAUUUAAUAAAUUUUGUAUUCUACUUAAAUCAGUGGACUAAAACACUAUAAAAUAUAUAUUCUCUAGAGAAAUAGACACAACAUUCAUUUCAAACAUCUUUGACCAUCAUAAUUUGCCUGUUAAGGAUGCAACUAUGCAAUAAAAAAAGAUUGUAUUAUUUUUCAAUUUUUUCUCAAAAUCUGAAGGUUAACCCCUACAAAAUUGAGUUUUUCGGUAAUUGCAAUAUAUAUUGAAGUUUACAUUCUUUAGUGUUGUUAAAAAAUUUCUAUCCACAUUCUAAGUUUGUAUUAAAUUAUGUUAAACUCUCCUUCAUGGUACAUAGACAUCACUAUAGUUUUUAAAAUUUUAAUUUAAUAAAUUUUAUAUACUACUUAAAUCAGUGGACUAAACACUAUAAAAUAUAUAUUCUCAAGAGAAACGGACGCAACAUACAUUUCAAACCUAUUUAACCGUCAUCAUAUGUAUGUUAAGGAUGCAACUACGCAAUAAAAAAUGAUUGUAAAUUUUUUUGAAUUUUGUUUCAAAAUCUGAAGGUCCCUACAAAAUUGAGUUUUUCGAUAAAUGCUCUAUAUAAUGAAGUUAACACUCGUUAAUGUUGUUUAAAAAUUUGUAAGCACAUUAUAAUUUGUAUUAAUGUAUGAUAAACUCUAUUUCAUGGUACAUUGACAAUACUAUAGUUUUUAAAAAUUUAAUUUAAAAAAUUUUAAAUACUACUUAAAUCAGUGGACUAAACACUAUAAAAUAAAUAUUCUCUAGAGAAACGGACAUUACAUACAUUUCAAAACUCUUAGACCAUCAUCAUAUGUCUGUUAAAAAUGCAACUAUGGAAUAAAAAAAGAUUGUUAAAUUUUUUUAUUUUUUUUAAAUCAGAAAGUUAACCCCUACAAAACUGAGUUUUUUCGAUAAAUGCUCUAUAUAAUGAAUGCUCUAUAUAAUGAAAUUUACAUUCUUUAUUGUUGUUCAAAAAUUUCUAAACACAUUCUACAUUUGAAUUAAUGUAUGCUAAGCUCUAUUUCAUGGUACAUAGACAUCACUAUAGUUUUUAAAAAAUUAUUUAAUAAAUUUUCGUACUACUUAAAUCAGUAGACUAAACGCUAUAAAAUAUAUAUUCUCUAGAGAAAUGGACACAACUUACAUUUUAAACCUCUUUGACCAUCAUCAUAUGUCUGUUAAGGAUACAACAAUGCAAUAAAAAAAUGAUUGUCAAAUUUUCUGAAUUUGUUUCAAAUUCUGAAGGUGAACCCCUACAAAAUUGAGUUUUUCGAUAAAUGCUCUAUAUAAUGAAGUUUACACUCUUUAAUGUUGUGUAAAAAUUUCUGACUACAUUAUAAAUUUGUAUCAAUGUAUGGCUAACUCUGAUUUAUGGUACAUAGACAUCAAUAUAGUUUUUAAAAAUUUAAUUUAAUAAAUUGUAUAUACUACUUAAAUCAGUGGAGUAAACACUAUAAAAUAUAUAUUCUCAAGAGAAACGGACGCAACAUAUCUUUCAAACCUCUUUAACCAUCAUCAUAUGUAUGCUAAGGAUGCAACUAUGUAAUAAAAAAAGAUUGUCAAAUUUUUUGAAUUUUGUUUCAAAAUCUGAAGGUUAUCCCCUACAAAAUUGAGUUUUUUGAUUAAUGCUCUAUAUAAUGAAAUUAAUACUCUUUAAUGUUGUUUAAAAAUUUAUAACCACAUUAUAAUUUGUAUUAAUGUCUGAUAAACUCUCUUUCAUUGUACAUAGACAAUUCUAUAGUUUUUGAAAAUUUAAUUUAAUAAAUUUUAUAUACUACUUAAAUCAGUGGACUAAACACUAUAAAAUAUAUAUUCUCUAGAGAAACGAACACUACAUACAUUUCAAACCUCUUAGACCAUCAUCAUAAGUCUGUUAAGAAUGCAACUAUGGAAUAAAUAAAGAUUGUCGAAUUUUUUGAAUUUUUUUCAAAAUCUGAAGGUUAACCCCUACAAAAUUGAGUUUUUCGAUAAAUGCUCUAUAUAAUAAAAUUUACAUUCUUUAGUGUUGUUCAAAAAUUUCUAACCACAUUCCACAUUUGUACUAAUAUAUGCUAAAUUCUCUUUCAUGGUACAUAGACAUCACUAUAGAUUUUUAAAAAUUAAUUUAAUAAAAUUUUGUACUACUUAAAUCAGUAGAGUAAACACUAUAAAAUAUAUAUUCUCUAGAGAAACGGACACAACAUACAUUUCAAAACUCUUUGACCAUCAUCAUAUGUCUGUUAAGGAUACAACUAUGCAAUAAAAAAAGAUUGUCAAAUUUUUUGAAUUUUUUUCAAAAUCUUAAGGUUAACCCCUACAAAAUUGAGUUUUUUGAAUAAAUGCUCUAUAAUGAAGUUUACAUUCUUUAGUGUUGUUCAAAAAUUUCUAACUAUAUUCUAUAUUUGUAUUAAUGUAUACUAAACAUUAUUUCAUGGUGCAUGGAAUACAUAGACAUCACUAUAUUUUUUAAAAAUUUAACUUAAUAAAUUUUAUAUACUACUUACAUCAGUGGACUAAAGACUAUAAAAUAUAUAUUCUCUAGAGAAACGGACACAACUUACAUUUCAAAACUCUUUGAUCAUCAUCAUAUGUAUGUUAAGGAUGCAACUAUGCAAUUAAAAAAAUUUCAAAUUUUUUGAUUUUUUUUUCAAAAUAUGAAGGUUACCCCCACAAAAUUGAGGUUUUCGAUAAAUGUUCUAUACACUGAAGUUUGCACCCUUUAAUGUUGUUGAAAAAUUUCUAACCACAUUAUACAUUUGUAUUAAUCUAUGCUAAACUCUCUUUCAGGAUACAUAGACAUCACAAUAGUUUUUAAAAAUUUAAUUUAAUAAAUUUUAUUUACUACUUGAAUCAGUGGACUAAGCAAUAUAAAAUAUAUAUUCUCAAGAGAAACGGACACAACAUACAUUUAAAACCUCUUUGACCAUCAUCAUAUGUCUGUUAAGGAUGCAAUUAUGCAAUAAAAAAAUAUUGUCAUAUUUUUCAAAUUUUUCUCAAAAUCUGAAGGUUAACCCCUACAAAAUUUAGUUUUUCGAUAAAUUCUCUAUAUAAUGAGUUUACACUCUUUAAUGUUGUUUAAAAAUUUCUAACCACAUUAUAAUUUGUAUUAAUGUAUGCUAAACUCUCUUUCAUGGUACAUAGACAACACUAUAGUUUUUAAAAAUUUAAUUUAAAAAUUUUUAUAUACUAAUUAAAUCAGUGGACUAAACACUAUAGAAUAUAUAUUCUCUAGAGAAACGGACACUACAUACAUUUCAAACUUCUUAGACCAUCAUUAUAUGUCUGUUAAGAAUGCAACUAUGAAAUAAAGAAAUAUUGUCAAAUUGUUUGAAUUUUUUUCAAAAUUUGAAGGUUAACCCCUACAAAAUUGAGUUUUUUUCGAUAAAUGCUCUAUAUAAUGAAGUCUACAUUUGAAUGUCUAUUAAGGAUGCAACCCUACAAACAUACAAAUUUCUAACCACAUACAAAUUUAAUGACCAUCAUCGUAUGUCUGUUAAGGAUGCAACCCUACAAAAUUGAGUUUUUCGAUAAAUGAUCUAUAUAAUGAAGUUUACACUCUUUAAUGUUGUUUAAAAAUUUGUAACCACAUUAUAAAUUUGAAUUAAUGUAUGCUAAACUCUCUUUCAUGGUACAUAGACAUCACUAUAGUUUUUAAAAAUUUAAUUUAAUAAAUUUUAUAUACUACUUAAAUUAGUGGACUAAACACUAUAGAAUAUAUAUUCUCUAGAGAAACGGACACAACAUACAUGUCAAACCUCUUUGACCAUCAUCAUAUGUCUGUUAAGGAUGCAACUAUGCGGUAAAAAAAGAUUGUCUUAUUUUUCAUUUUUUUUUCAAAAUCUAAAGGUGUUACCCUAUAAAAUUGAAUUUUUCGGUAAUUGCAAUAUUAUUGAAGUUUACAUUCUUUAGUGUUGUUUAAAAAUUUCUAACCACAUUCUAAAUUUGUAUUAAUGUAUGCUAAACUCUCUUUCAUGGUACAUAGACAUCACUAUAGUUUUUUAAAGUUUGAUUUAAUAAAUUUUAUGUACUACUUAAAUCAGUAGACUACACACUAUAAAAUAUAUAUUCUCAAGAGAAACGGACACAACAUACAAUUCAAAACUCUUUGGCCAUUACCAUAUGUAUGUUAAGGAUGCAACUAUGGAAUAAAAAAAGAUUGUCCAAUUUUUUGAAUUUUUUUCAAAAUCUGAAGGUUAACCCCUACAAAAUUGAAGUUUUCGGUAAUUGAAAUAUAUAUUGAAGUUUACAUUCUUUAGUGUUGUUUACAAAUAUCUAACCACAUUAUACAUUUGUAUUAAUGUAUGCUAAUCUCUCUUUGAGGAUACAGACAUCUAUAUAAUGAAAUUUACACUCUUUAAUGUUGUUUAAAAAUUUCUAACCAUAUUAUAAUUUGUAUUAAUGUAUGCUAAACUCUCUUUCAUGGUACAUAGACAUCACUAUAGUUUUUGAAAAUUUAAUUUAAAAAAUUUUAUAUACUAAUUAAAUCAGCGGACUAAACACUACAAAAUAUAUAUUCUCUAGAGAAACGGACACAACAUACAUUUCAAACCUAUUUGACCAUCAUCAUAUGUCUGUUAAGGAUGCAACUAUGCAAUAAAAAAUAUUGUCAAAUUUUUUGAAUUUUUUUCAAAAUCUGAAGGUUAACCCCUACAAAAUUGAGGUUUUCGGUAAUUGAAAUAUAUAUUGAAGUUUACAUUCUUUAGUGUUGUUUACAAAUAUCUAACCACAUUAUACAUUUGUAUUAAUGUAUGCUAAUCUCUCUUUGAGGAUACAGACAUCACAAUAGUUUUUAAAAAUUUAAUUUAAUAAAUUUUAUAUACUACUUGAAUCAGUGGACUAAACACUGUAAAAUAUAUAUUCUCUAUAGAAACGGACACAACAUACGUUUAAAACCUCUUUGACAAUCAUCAUAUGUCUGUUAAGGAUGCAACUAUGCAAUAAAAAAGAUUGUCAUAUUUUUUAGAUAUUUUUCAAAAUCAGAAGGUUAACCCCUACAAAAUUUAGUUUUUCGAUAAAUGCUAUAUAUAAUGAAGUUUACACUCUUUAAUGUUGUUUAAAAAUUUCUAAACACAUUAUAAAUUUUUAUUAAUGUAUGCUAAACUCUCUUUCAUGGUACAUAGACAUCAGCAUAGUUUUUAAAAUUUUAAUUUAAUAAAUUCUUCAUACUACUAUAAAAUAUAUAUUCUCAAGAGAAACGGACACAACAUACAAUUCAAACCUCUAUGGCCAUUAUCAUAUGUAUGUUAAGGAUUCAAGUAUAGAAUAAAAAAAGAUUGUCCAAUUUAUUGAAUUUGUUUUCAAAAUAUGAAGGUUAACCCCGAUAAAAUUGACAUUUUUUGAUAUAUGCUCUAUAUAAUGAAAUUUACACUCUUUAAUGUUGUUUAAAAAUUUCUAACCACAUUAUAAUUUAUAUUAAUGCAUGCUAAACUCUCUUUCAUGGUAGAUAGACAUCACUAUAGUUUUUGAAAAAUUAAUUUAAAAAAUUUUAUAUACUAAUUAAAUCAGUGGACUAAACACUAUAAAAUAUAUAUUCUCUAGAGAAACGGACACAACAUACAUUUCAAACAUCUUUGACCAUCAUCAUAUAUCUGUUAAGGAUGCAACUAUGCAAAUCAAAUUUUUUGAAUUUUUUUUCAAAAUCUUAAGGUUAACCCCUACAAAAUUAAGUUUUUCGGUAAAUGCUCUAUACAAUGAAGUUUACACCCUUUAAUGUUGUUUAAAAAUUUCUAACCAGAUUAUACAUUAAUGCUAAACUCUCUUUCAUGGUACAUAGACAUCACUAUAGUUUUUAAAAAUUUAAUUUAAUAAAUUUUAUAUACUACUUAAAUCAGUGGACUAAACACUAUAAAAUAUAUAUUCUCUAGAGAAACGGACACAACAUACAUUUCAAAACUCUUUGACCAUCAUCAUAUGUAUGUUAAGGAUGCAACUAUGCAAUAAAAAAGGAUUUUUGAAUUUUUUGAAUUUUUUUUAAAAUAUGAAGGUUAACCCCCACAAAAUUGAGGUUUUCGAUAAAUGUUCUAUAUAAUGAAGUUUACACUCUUUAAUGUUGUUUAAAAAUUUCUAACCACAUUAUAAUUUGUAUUAAUAUAUGCUAAACUCUCUUUCAUGGUACAUAAACAUCACUAUAGUUUUUAAAAUUUUAAUUUAAUAAAUUUUAUAUACUACUUAAAUCGGUGGAUUAAACACUAUAAAAUAUAUAUUUUUCUAGAGAAAUGGACACAACAUACAUUUCAAACCUCUUUGACCAUCAUCAUAUGUUUGUUAAGGAUGCAACUAUGCAAUAAAAAAAGAUUGUCAAAUUUUUUGAUUUUUUUUCAAAAUCUGAAGGUUUACCCCUACAAAAUGGAUUUUUUCGGUAAAUUCUCUAUACAAUGAAGUUUACACCCUUUAAUGUUGUUUAAAAUUUUUUAACCACAUUUAUAUAUUUUUAUUAAUGUAUGCUAAACUCUCUUUCAUAGUACAUAGACAUCACUAUAGUUUUUAAAAAAUUAAUUUAAUAAAUUUUAUAUACUACUUAAAUCAGUGGACUAAACUCUAUAAAAUAUAUAUUCUCUAGAGAAACGAACACAACAUCCAUUUUAAACCUCUUUGACCAUCAUAUGUCUGUUAAGGAUGCAACUAUGCAAUAAAAAAAAUUGUCAAAUUUUUUGAAUUUUUUUCAAAAUCUGAAGGUUUAACCCCCUACAAAAUUGAGUUUUUCGAUAAAUGCUCUAUAUAAUGAAGUUUACACUCUUUAAUGUUGUUUAAAAAUUUCUAACCAUAUUAUAAAUUUGUAUUAAUGUAUGCUAAACUCUCUUUCAUGAUAUAUAGAUAUCACUAUAGUUUUUAAAAAAUUUAAUUUAAUAAAUUUUAUAUACUAUUUAAAUCAGUGGAUUAAACACUAUAAAAUAUAUAUUCUCUAGAGAAACGGACACAACAUACAUUUCAAACCUCGUUGACUAUCAUCAUGUGUGUUAAGAAUGCAACUAUGCAAUAAAACCACUAAUCACACCAACCGGUAUGCACCACGAGAACAACACUUCACAUCGGUUUGUAUACAUUAUCUUCGGUUUAGGAUACGGUUCGGUUGGUGUCUGGUAGUUACUUUACACUAACGUUGAGGCAAAAAGAAGAUAUUUGGGUUUUACAGGUGACGUGCUGUCUCGUGCAUCAUGUGGAUUCAUUCCACGACGUCAAGCUGAUUCAACCGGCUGGGGUUGGUGGCUGACUGGUAGUUUAUAAUGCAAACAAAAAAACAGGAUAGAAACUGGUAAAUGUCAUUCUCUAUCACCAACUACCACAAAUCUCAACCGUUGAGCUAAUGCAUCAAACAACUGUGAUUAAAAAGAACGUGUUACUUAUCCUCACAAAAAUAAUUAGUGUGUCUAGUAUUUAUAUAACUUUAGGAAGAAUUACAUGUUCAGAGUAAAAUGUAGCUGAUAGAGAGUUCUACGUACAUAUAUAGUUUUGUAAAAUUCUAAAAUUAAAACAUGCCUUAAAUUACUUAUAUUUUAUUGGUUUCAAAAAUUAAAUUAGUAAAUACAAUUAUUGCAAUACCUUUUAUUUACUACAAAAGUAAACAGAAAAUAGUAAAUAAACAGUAGUAUAUAUUAUCUGUAAGAGAAUCCAACUUACCAUUAAUAUCAUUAUUUGUAUGUUUUCUUAAUAGGAAAUGAAUAAAUGCAAUUUCCACAAGAAAAUAUCCGACCGAUUGAACCAGUAACCAGUUACUGAAAGUUAAAAAGAAUGAAGUGUGUAUAAAAAGAACGUGCAGCGGCGUGAAGGGUUGUGUACUUGUGUCCAGUGGCUUUGGUCGGUGUCGGCUGCUUCUCUGCUUAGAUUUGCUCUUCCUCUCUCUCUCUACACAGGUUUCUCUUUAAUAGACAAACUCUCUACCUAUUCUCUGACUCUUUUCUUGUUAUAAACAAGGGUUUGAUUCUCCUGUCUUCACAGAUCUGUGCCAAUCAUUUGCUGUUUUGUUUGCUUUGGAUAGGGAAAAUAUUACUCUUCGGUUUGACCUUUCUACUAAUCACUUAAUAAUGAUUGUGUCUUCAUUGAUCAAUAUAGACUUUAGUCUCUGUUUCCAGUUUACUGAUCUUGAUUUUAACGGUUACACUUAAUAAUAAUAAUCUGUAUCAGGAUUUAUUUUUCUACUAUUAAUAACUAGUCUUCCAAGUCACUAAUCUUUGUCUUACUGUAUUUAGGCUAUGGAGUCGUUUCUGUUCACAUCAGAGUCAGUGAACGAGGGCCACCCAGACAAACUCUGCGACCAAGUCUCCGACGCAGUCCUAGACGCUUGCCUCGAGCAAGACCCUGAAAGCAAAGUCGCAUGCGAGACUUGCACCAAGACCAACAUGGUCAUGGUCUUUGGCGAAAUCACCACCAAGGCCAAAGUUGACUACGAGAAAAUCGUCCGUGACACGUGUCGUGCCAUCGGCUUCGUCUCAGCGGACGUCGGCCUAGACGCUGACACCUGCAAAGUCUUGGUCAACAUCGAGGAGCAGAGCCCCGACAUAGCUCAAGGAGUUCACGGUCAUUUCACAAAACGCCCUGAGGAGAUCGGAGCUGGUGACCAAGGUCACAUGUUUGGGUACGCAACGGACGAGACUCCUGAGCUUAUGCCGUUGAGCCAUGUCUUGGCCACGAAGCUCGGUGCGCGUCUCACUGAGGUUAGGAAGAACGGGACUUGCCCAUGGGUUAGACCUGACGGGAAGACUCAAGUCACCGUUGAGUACUACAACGAGAACGGUGCUAUGGUCCCUGUCCGUGUGCACACCGUUCUUAUCUCAACUCAACACGAUGAGACUGUAACCAACGAUGAGAUCGCACGUGACCUCAAACAGCACGUGAUCAAGCCGGUGAUCCCCGCCAAGUACCUAGACGAGAAAACCAUCUUCCACCUAAACCCAUCAGGGAGAUUUGUCAUCGGUGGUCCACACGGUGACGCUGGUCUAACCGGACGCAAGAUCAUCAUCGACACGUACGGUGGCUGGGGAGCUCACGGUGGUGGUGCAUUCUCUGGCAAAGACCCAUCUAAAGUGGAUAGAAGCGGUGCGUACAUAGCUAGACAAGCGGCUAAGAGCAUUGUGGCUAGCGAUCUAGCACGCAGGGCUCUUGUUCAGGUCUCUUACGCCAUUGGUGUCCCCGAGCCGUUGUCUGUUUUUGUUGAUACUUAUGGAACAGGGAAGAUUCCAGACAAGGAGAUUCUCAAGAUUGUGAAGGAGAACUUUGAUUUUAGGCCAGGGAUGAUGACUAUUAACCUUGACCUCACGAGAGGUGGGAAUGGGAGGUUCUUGAAGACUGCUGCGUAUGGACACUUUGGUAGGGAGGAUCCUGACUUUACCUGGGAGGUUGUUAAGCCUCUCAAGGCAGAGAAGGCUUAAGAAGAGUCAGCUUAUUGUUUUAACUACGUUUAUGUUUGUUUGAAACUCUUUUAAAUCUCUUUUGUGGCUUUCAGUCUGAGUCUUGUUUGUUUUUUUAUUUAUUUUAUAAGUGUGAUGUUUUGUGCUCUUUGGUUUGGUACUUUGGUAUGAUGUUACGUACUCCUUGAUGGUUUUAUUGGAGAUUAGUGUUGUGGCAGAGCAAGACUUUUACUUAAGAAGACACUCAGCUUUCAAGUGCAAGUCUCCAGUAUUCAAGACCAAAACCAUAAGUUCACUGAAGAAAAUGGAUAUACAGUUUUACUUAUACCAUCAGUACUAUUAAAAGGAUUAUUGUUUCUAUCAAUGUUCAAAAAAUCGGUAUCGAUCCUUUUUAAAGGAUUAUUGUUUAGGUAGUCGCUUAGACCGAUUUUUAUAAAACUUGCACCCAUUUAUUAAAAAAGUUGUUCUGAAAAAUCCUAUAGAUUUGAUUUUUAGAACACUGAUCAAGGGAAUCAGGGGAAGCAACAGAAGAAAAUUAACUAUAGUACAAACAUCAUCUCCAUUGUUAAAAUUACAAAAAUAUAAUCAUGUCAACAAAAGAAAAAAUACUAAUCAGAGUUACAGAAAGAGAAUCCUCAGGUUCCAGAGAGAAAAGAGAGCUUUUACACACAACAACCUUCUAAACACAUGUCUCUAUAUCUUUAUAUAUUACAAUAUAGAAAUCACACAUUUAUAUAAAGUAACAUUUAUUUUAUUUAUAACUUAGAAGAUUUUUCAACAUAGACUUACACACUCAUCUUGUUCCAUAGUCCAACAACUCCCACCUGAACGGUUGAAACACAUAAAGCACUUCUGGGCAACUCUUGAAUAGAAGUGCCACACAGACGCAAACCGCAGCAAUCGCCACCAUUGACAGCAUAGCUGGUCUGUAUGCUACAGACCGGCGUGCUGUCCCAUACACCAGCUUAUGGUCACAGAGCUUGCACUGAAGCUUGUGGUUUCCAUGUGUGAUCUCCAACGCUGAAGAACCUGAUUUUGUUUCUUUCUGCUCUCGGUCUGAGAUAGAGGAAGCAGGGAUAUUGACCACAACAUGAUCUUCAGUUGCUGACUUUUUAUUGAUCUUGCGUUGGAUCAAGUGGAUGUAUGAGAAGUGACCGCGUAAGCGUGCGUAGUCUUCCGGUGUAAAGCCUGUGGUGUCUCUAGAUGUUCUCCAUGCUUCAAUCCCCACCUGAACCAAAUACAAAAUAAGAUAAGUUUUUUUUUUCGUUCUGAGAAUCAAAUUCAAAGUGAAAGAGAUCAAAUCACCAUUGAGGGAUCUUCUGUUAGAGCGUCCAACACAUCUUCUGAACCAUCUUUACCAGCUGCAAUGUGAAGAGGUGUUAAACCUGCUGGACCAGCAGCGUCAGGUCUAAACAAGCUGUGUAUUCUUUGCUGGUUAGGAACGACGUAUCUCAAGAGCAUUUCCACCAUAGGCUUAGAGUUUUUCCUGACGGCUCUGUGAAGAAGGCACAGUUCUGAUAGCGCGGCGGCAUCAGAUGAAGAGUAACCAACAGCUCCUUCAAAGAACAUGUUCAGUAGCUUUCUGAUCACAGCGCACCACUCUCGGUCCAUUGAGAACUCGAUGAGCCACUUGAAACGUGCUAAUGAGAACACACCGAGCUUACUUCUGCGAAGAAGCCAACCGAGUUCAUGAAUGAACUCCAUAGCUAGCUUAGCGGAAUCAGUAUCAGUGAACUCUAAUGUGGUUUCGAGUAUACGGAUCUCAGAACAAACGUCAUCCUCUUCAACCACUAUGAAAGGGAAGAAACUGCUGCUGAGUCCUCCUUGGUCUUCAAUCUGAAAAUAGUCAUCAAGCGAAGCUUGAGUCAAACGAAUAAACAGGUGAUAGAUAGCUCAUUACCAGAAAUACAAAGUUAUCUCACCUCCAUGAAUCCUCGACCGCUUGUAAUAGGCAAAUCACAAGAGAAACUGACACACUCAUUACUCUCCUUGAGAUCAUCAUUCUCCUGAAUCAAGUAUUUUCCUUCUACAGCACAAAGUAACCUGAACAAAGACUGUUAGAUAUCAAAAAGGAAGAAGAAGAAGAAGAUAAGGAAGGGACAUAGAACCUUGUGCCAGGUCGACGGAGAUUGAUGCCUUUUACUGUGAACUGAGCCUUUCCUGUUGCAGCAGCUACAGCGAGCGGUCUAACGCUAAUAAUGUGGCUGUAAUCAUGACUUCUUAGCGGUAAAGAAGUGUCAACAAGAACCUGACCUGUAAGUAACCCACAAAAUUCACAAUUAAAAUUACUUGCAAAUAUUAUAUUCAACUGAUGAAAGUAAUCUCGAAACUAACUAACCGUCGAAUACAAAUGCGUAUUGGUUUUGCAUCCUAACAUAAAUCCAUCCACUUGUCCAUAGAGGAUCAUCUGAGAGAUCUAGAAGCUUGCUCAAGCUAAAGCCCAUGUCAUCAGAAAGCUGCAAAGCAAAAAAAAAACAAAGUUCAUAAGUUUAGAAAUUUUAAUCAAGAUAAAAAGAAGAAAUGUCAAAGUAAGCUUACUUCUUCCCAAGCAGUUUCAGCUUGACGAAGAUAAAUGGUCAAUACGAUGCAACCAGGUCUAAUGUAGCUCUCAAUGUCAGUUGGAGUAUGAGAUAGCCAGUCAAGAAUCUGAAUUAUCAAAGAGAAGAGAAGAUUAAUAUUAACACAUCAGUAUAAAAAACAAAGUUUCAAGUUGAGAAAAUGGUACCUGUCCACGCAAGACAGGAGGAAAGUCAUUUGGCUCUUUCCCAAAUAGUUUGAACACAAUCCUCCCUGUGCGCAUCUGAAGAAGAUGAAGGAGGUUAUUAUCAGCUAUAGAGCAAAUGGAAUGGAUGAGGUAAGAGAUUCAUUCAUAUAUACCUGAGCAUCUUCGCUGGAGCUUGAUGGUGACUGGUCAGAUGCUGAAUCUGAGUUCCUACUAGUCUGAUGUAUCCAGGAAGGAUAAUCAGGAGAGCUUGUUGCUGGAUUCGUAGUAGUGGUAGGAGGAGAAGAUCUUUCGAGAUCUGUGCCGCCAUCAUCAGAGUCUAUGUAGAUGUCAUUCAGAUCAAAAUCAUUUACUUUGGUUUGUAGUUUCUCUGAUCUGUUCCCACUGGCAUACAGUUCCUGCCGAGGAAGCUCAGGAGCUUGCUUCGAAUCCUCUUGAGGAGCUGCAAGCAAACCCGAUCCUCCUUGUAGAAGAAGUUCGACCAAGUUCUUCCCUAGCUGUUCACCAGCAUGGCUGACAAGGCUCUUGAGAAGAUGAGGCAUCAAAUCUUGAUCACCUGAUGAUCCAUUGGCUGCUGCAACAACAGAACACAACACAAAGUUAAAUAACACUAAAUAAAACUAGAAUGUCUGAUGAGAGAGGUUUAAGUAAGUAACAUACAGUGCAUAUUGGAGAGUAUCUUCAAGAGACAAAUCAACAGAUAAUUGCUUGAUUGAUUAUCAUCACUCAGGGGAUUCCCAUUGGCGGCAGGUUCAGGAUUUGUCUUCCUCCUACGUUUGUUAUGCCCAGCCAAACGUCUACGGCAACUUCUCUUUCCUUCAUCAAACUCCUCAAGAACAUGGAACCUGGAACACAGAACAAUCAAAAGUUAAUUCCUUUUUUUUUUUUUUAAUAUUAACUUCAUUCAUCAUCAGGCAUACCUACUACAUUGCUGACAAAACCGCUGCAUGAUUCCACCGACGAGUGCACUAGUAGCCUUAGAAUGCAUCUCACACACCUUAUGGCGUCUAUGAUAGUCCUUAACUUUGCUAAGAUCAGCUUCACAGCUCUCCACCUGACAAACCGAGCGAUGAUUUGUCCCACUUCCUCCUCCGAGUUUCGUCUUCUUCCCUUCUCUUUCACCAUUAAGAUCAUAACCAUUCUCUCCCAGCUUCAAACUAAGCCCACCACCACCACCAUCUUCCCCUGUAGCAGCAGCUCUUCUUCUCUUCUCAACUUCUCUUGUAUUAUCAUUCCCUUCAUCAGAGCAAGAAGAAGAGGUAUUUGACGAGUUCCCUAGUGGGAAAAACUGACGCCCCAUGGUUUGGCUAACACCAGGAUUCAACGGUGUUGCUAUGAAGAGAUCACCAUCCCACUUCCAAUCAUUCAGAUCCCACUCCACGCUCCUUUUGCCAACAUCCAUGGCUCUGUAUCCAUAGAAAUGUUGACCCUCACCUUCAAUUCUAGCUUCCAUCACAAACAACUUCGAUCCCAAAUUGAUCUUUGCAGAUCAGAGGGAAAAGAUAAAAAAAACAGAACUUUAAGGCUUCUUCUUAUCAAUCAAUCAAGAUUCUUCCCAAGAGAUCUACAAAUGAACAGAUCCAUGGUUCCAAUUAGCCCCACACACACUUCUCAAUACACAGAUAAAUCAAAAGACCUUUCAACGUAUAAAACACUUUCAAACAAGACAACAACAAGAAGAGAAAACUGACCUGUCUCAAUACUAAACAAUCAAAGUAACAGCUGGAGAGACCUUCGAGAGGAGCCACUGGUGAUGGAGAGGCGAUGAAGAUGCGUUUGUGGCGUGAUGGAGAGGAGAGUAUGUGUAUGGUAAUGGUUAAUUGGGGGUAGUACAAAAGGUUUGGGGGAGAGAAAGAGUGAGAGAGAGAAAACCAAAAUUAGUACAUAUCAAAAAUAUAUAAUUUUAAUUUUAAUUUUUUUUUAGGCAAAACAAAAUAGUGGUGGACCACUUCUACACUGAUAAUAUUUAUAUUAAAAAUCUAUAUAAGAUAAAAAGACAUAAAAUUAAUUCUUUUGUGACUUUUGUCUACCUUUUUUAUUGUCUUCUCCCAUGUGGAGUAGUGUACUAAUGGAGGUUAAUAAUCGACUGCUUCGCGGAGCAUGGGGCGGUUUCGUGCACUUAGAGGUGCUAUUGUCUGUGGAGCGGUGCACGUUAAUGCGUUUUUUAGACUUUUAGUUAGUUGUGAGUUCGUUGAGAGGUAAAAAAUCGAGUGUUUAGUAGUGAAGAACCGUAGUAAUCGCUGAUCGAUAAAGAAAGUGUCGGUGUGUCUACUAGUAACUGAGUGAACGCGGUUUGACUUUGACUUGAGGAACCCGACUGGGCCAACUUUCUGUCUCGAUGUGGUCAAAGUGGUCUGGGCUUUACUGGCCCACUUACUACUAACCCACCUAAAUUAAAUAUUAUAGAUUUUGUUUUGUUGUUAAUCUCGUUUUGUGUUUUGUUUUCAUUCUUGUGAUACAUCUAAUCAUUUAAUUAAGGUAGAAUAUUGGAAAAAUAAUAAUCGAAUUUUUGUUAGUGAGAGUACAAAAAGAGACCAGUCACAUGAGAAAUAUAAGGGAGAAUCCAAUGCGCUGCGUCGGAUGAUAUAUUCUUCCAUGUUCCUCGUCAUGAUAAGCUUUAGAAUCUCCAAAGGAUCUCAUUCCGUAAUUAUUAUGUAAUUUCAUAGUCCUAAAGUAUGAUGUUCCUCACUUAUUAUAACCUGAUGCUGAUAGUUAUCGAUUGUAUGUGAGAUUCCUUUCUAACUCUAUUCGUUUUCAAAAAUAAAAAGAAGUAAAUUGAGUUAGGAGCCGAAUAAAUGCAUUAUGUUAUGAUUUUAGAAAAGCACUACCAACCGAAGCGGCAAGGUUUCGGCAAAUAAUUCCCCAUAAACCUAAAAAGAAAAGAAAAACUUGAAACGGCUAAUAUGAUCAUUAUAUGGUUAGAGAAGGUGGAAGAUUGAUUAAAUGGUGUUUAAAAUAAUGUAAUGGUCACACCAAAAGAAAACCAUGAUGAUUCAUCUCGAACAUGCCCAUAUUUUGUUCACAUGCAAAGAUAACGACUUCAUCUAGAUACGACCCACAACUCACCAACCCACAUUUAUACAUUUAUUUAUAAAGUUUUGUUGGCUGUUUCUUGUGGAAAGAAACGCAUUAUAAAAAGAUAACGCGGAAACAUGAUACGUAACAUAGGAAAGCUAACUAGUUAAGGCUGUAUAUAUGCAUACGUAGUUUUAUAACUAAAAUGGUCUUAGGAACGAGUAUCUAAAAGAAGGCACUAUAAAGGAAACUAUAUAGAAUUUGCGGUUUUUAAUAAAUAUUGUAUAGUUGCAAUGAAGAUAAGCGACUCAUCUCUAUCAAUAUCAAUGCAUUUUGUUAACGUUAAAGAAAAUAAUAAAAUAUCUUAAGAAUACAACAUGAUUUAGAGGAAACCAGUAGAUUUGGUCGGAAAACAUAAAUAUUAUUGUAAUGAAAUCAAAAUUGGCAUUUAUAUUGAAUAAUUCUACAUAAUACAGAAAACAAAAGGAAAAUAAUCCCAACAUACCAACGGCCACACAAAAAAAAACAUGGUCGUUGAAUGACGGCCGGCGGCGGAAGUCACGCCGUUGAUAUGUAACGAUAAUUCCGGUCAUUUUUCAAUUUAAUUCGAUAAAUAAAUAAUCCAAAUUAAAAAUGAGGUGGCAAUCUGGUCCGUUGGCUCUUGAGUUUCGUCAAACUAAUCCAACGGCGACACCGCUGUCAAGUGACAGCGUUGAAAUCCAGUCAAAGUAAUUAAAUUAAUACACUAGUUGAAAAAACUAUUAUUUAAAAUACAAAAAUACAAAAAAAAAAGGUUUGCGCGUUAUGUAAUUUAAUCUUUCAGUCCUAUAAUUUUCAAAAGAUCGCCACUGUUAUCGAAAACUCAGAUCUCCAAAAGAAGAAACUCGCUCUCACUUACCUACUACGCAUCCUCUCGAGGUACAAAGUUCAUCUAGAUUUCGCUCUUUGUUGCUCUGAUCCUCGAUUCGAACCUGUAAUAGAAUAUUUCUCGCUAUUUAUAGUAACGUUUCGAGUUCAUUUGGUUCCGUUACGCUUCCUAGAUAGUUGAAUUUCAUUAUCAGAUUCAGAUCUCUCGUUUGAUCUGGCUAAUGUAGAUUAUAUUAUCUAUUUGCAGAUAGAAUAAAAUAAAAAUGAGCUGCUUCGGGUGUUGCGAGGAAGAUGAUAUGCACAAAGGUGCUGCUGAUCACGGUGGCCACAAUACAGCUAAACACUUUGGAGGUAAUUUUUUUUUUUUUUUUGAAUAAAGCAAGUUUUUGUUUUACUUAUUGUUUUUUUUUUUAGGGAAUGAUGGGAGGCACAAUGCCUCUGAAGCUGCACAAAAGGGCGGCGCACCAGCUGUGAAGGUGCAGCCUAUUGAAGUACCUACCAUCCCUGUUAACGAACUCAAGGAAGCUACCGAGGAUUUUGGAUCGAGUUCUCUCAUCGGUGAAGGCUCCUACGGAAGAGUUUAUUACGGGAUGCUAACUAACCAGCAGCCUGCAGCUAUUAAAAAGCUUGAUUCUAACAAACAGCCUGACAAUGAGUUCCUUGCCCAGGUUUGCUUCCUUUCUAUAAAUAGAGUUACUAGUAUUAAUGUUUCCUAUAUUAGCUAAACUUGGGAACUGUCGCUGCUUGCUCAGGUUUCCAUGGUGUCGAGGCUGAAGCAUGACAACUUUGUUCAACUGCUUGGCUACUGUGUUGACGGGAACUCGAGGAUACUUGCCUAUGAGUUUGCCAAGAAUGGAUCUCUUCAUGACAUUCUUCAUGGUACAGUCUUAAAUAGAUUUAUUUUUGUGGGCAUUACUUUGGUUUUAACAUCUGUCUUUAUUAUUCCACAGGGAGAAAAGGAGUGAAAGGAGCUCAGCCAGGACCUGUCUUGUCGUGGUACCAACGGGUGAAAAUUGCGGUUGGAGCUGCGAGAGGGCUAGAGUAUUUGCAUGAGAAGGCAAACCCUCACAUCAUUCACCGUGACAUUAAGUCAAGCAAUGUCCUACUCUUUGAAGAUGAUGUUGCCAAGAUUGCUGACUUUGAUCUCUCUAAUCAAGCUCCUGAUAUGGCUGCUCGCCUUCAUUCGACACGUGUCCUUGGAACUUUCGGUUACCAUGCCCCUGAGUAAGUUGACACAUAGCUUCUUCUUGUGAAUAAAAAACGUAAUAGUGUGAGCUCCUCUCAAGUCUCAAAUGCUCUUGUUAUUUUUUUUAUCUUGACAGAUAUGCGAUGACCGGUCAGUUAAAUGCCAAGAGUGAUGUGUACAGCUUCGGGGUUGUCUUACUGGAGCUCCUUACAGGUCGAAAACCUGUUGAUCAUAGAUUACCCAGAGGCCAGCAAAGUCUAGUCACAUGGGUACUGAUUCCUCUCAGUCUUACACAUCUUUUGUUUCUAUUAUUGAAUCCAUAUAAACUGUUACUUAUGCUUCAGGCAACACCUAAACUGAGUGAAGACAAGGUCAAACAGUGCGUUGAUGCAAGACUUGGUGGCGAUUACCCUCCAAAAGCUGUUGCCAAGGUAUUUAAAACAUUAUAUGUCUUUGGACUUUUGAAAACGUAAACGCUCAAGUGAUUCUCUCUGCUUAUCUCAUAUGUGAUGUUGGUUGAUGAAACGCAGUUAGCGGCGGUAGCAGCGUUGUGUGUGCAGUAUGAAGCAGAUUUUAGGCCGAAUAUGAGUAUUGUUGUGAAAGCUCUACAACCUUUGUUGAACGCUCGAGCCGCUGCUCCAGGGGAUGGAUUACAUUAGCCAACACCGGAAUAUUUGAUAUCUCCGCCGUCUUCCUGAAUAUUUGAUUUCCACAUAUACAGUAAUCAAAACUUAUAGUGUGCAUAGAAAAUCUAUUUUUUUUUUGUUACAAAAUUAAAUCCGUCACCGUUAUUUGGAUUCUUGCUUUUCUACUAAACUGCUAUCUCUCCCAUACAAUUUCUGACCGCCUAAUAUUAUUAUUUUCAUUGAAGUUGUGGUAAAAAAAAAACAGAAUCAUAGCGAUACUUCUGGUUAAUUUUUCUGUUAUCAACUUAUCAAAUUUGUGUGUAUAUAGUACUUAUAGUAUACAGCUUCUCUGUUACUAGCUAAUUAGCUAUAUGUAUAUUUCUUAAAUAUGUUUAUAAGACAAAUUUUAUAACUGACUCAUAAAAUAAGGAGGAGGCUUCUGUUUGAGGACAAGAUCAUGGCAUGUCCGAUUAAAAAAGCCACAAUUCACGCAUUACCAUCAGUUUAUCUUUGAAGAAAUAGUAAAAAAAAAUCUAAAUAUAGCAAAACCAUAUAAACAUCUAUAUAUACACGUAACCUUCCUUUUUCCUUACUCUAAUCCUUUCCAAUCCACGUUGAAGUUAACAAAAAAAAAAACAAAAAAAAUGAACACUCCUAUAAAACUCGCCUUUCUCAUUCUAUGCAUCGCCCUAACCGCAACCGCAAUCAUAGUCCCAGCCAAACGUGACGCCGUUACACCCGAACACGAGAAAGCCGUCGCAGGAAUAUGCAGCGUUGUCCAAGACAAACGUCUCUGUAGCAUAACCUUGAAAACCGUCCCAAGCAAUGAUCCAGCCGUUCUGGUCCGUCACUUAGCCACUGGUGCAGAAACCUCAGUUAAAAAGGGAUUGAAGUUCCUCUCCGGAAUCAAACCCAAGUACAAAGGAGACAAAUUCGCCACAGCUUGCAUCACCAGCUGCGAGAAACAGCUAAACAGCGCUUUGGAAGACUUUUCAGAUUUCUGGAAAGCCGCGGGAAAAGACAUAAAGAGCAUGGCUAAUAACUACUUCACGUGUAAGAAGAAGAUGACCUCGAUCUUUAACUACCAGUCGAGUUGUCUCGAUGACAUUUACGACAAACCGUUGUUGAAAGAGGUUCAAGGAGGGAUAGGGCUUGGGAAAAGAAUGAGUGGCGAGUCAGUGGAUGUGUUCGCUGGAAUGGGCAAAGUCUUUAACACUCUCAACAUUAAGACCAAACUUAACCA